GUCUACAGCCAUGCCACCCUGAAUGUGCCCGAUCUCGUCUGAUCUCGGAAGCUAAGCAGGGUCAAGCCUGGUUAGUACUUGAAUGGGAGACCAAAUAAAAAUAAAAAUAAAUAAAUU
This 117-nucleotide ribosomal RNA is filed under the name Pteropus alecto (black flying fox). Lineage: Eukaryota; Metazoa; Chordata; Mammalia; Chiroptera; Pteropodidae. The record is from RNAcentral.